AAGCAGAGGGGGCUUAGUGGUGGGGUGACUGCGUACCUUUUGUAUAAUGGGUCAGCGACUUAUAUUCUGUAGCAAGGUUAACCGAAUAGGGGAGCCGGAGGGAAACCGAGUCUUAAUUGGGCGUUAAGUUGCAGGGUAUAGACCCGAAACCCGGUGAUCUAGCCAUGGGCAGGUUGAAGGUUGGGUAACACUAACUGGAGGACCGAACCGACUAAUGUUGAAAAAUUAGCGGAUGACCUGUGGCUGGGGGUGAAAGGCCAAUCAAACCGGGAGAUAGCUGGUUCUCCCCGAAAGCUAUUUAGGUAGCGCCUCGUGAAUUCAUCUCCGGGGGUAGAGCACUGUUUCGGCUAGGGGGCCAUCCCGGCUUACCAACCCGAUGCAAACUGCGAAUACCGGAGAAUGUUAUCACGGGAGACACACGGCGGGUGCUAACGUCCGUCGUGAAGAGGGAAACAACCCAGACCGCCAGCUAAGGUCCCAAAGUCAUGGUUAAGUGGGAAACGAUGUGGGAAGGCCCAGACAGCCAGGAUGUUGGCUUAGAAGCAGCCAUCAUUUAAAGAAAGCGUAAUAGCUCACUGGUCGAGUCGGCCUGCGCGGAAGAUGUAACGGGGCUAAACCAUGCACCGAAGCUGCGGCAGCGAACGUAUCACCCAAGACAACUUUACGGAGUUGACGAUUGACGGAGCGAAGCGACGUCAAAGCGUUCAUUAAAGUCGAGUUGGCUUAGGGAUACGUUCGUUGGGUAGGGGAGCGUUCUGUAAGCCUG
RNAcentral lists this ribosomal RNA (766 nucleotides) under Salmonella enterica. RNAcentral's name for it is "partial 23S ribosomal RNA". It matches the Rfam family "Bacterial large subunit ribosomal RNA", at positions 568 to 1251 of the family's 2925-position model. Lineage: Bacteria; Pseudomonadati; Pseudomonadota; Gammaproteobacteria; Enterobacterales; Enterobacteriaceae. The record is from RNAcentral.